Molecule: transfer RNA, 73 nt
Filed under: Pseudomonadota bacterium
Lineage: Bacteria; Pseudomonadati; Pseudomonadota
Also listed under: 1 other name
Description: tRNA-Met
Rfam family: tRNA
About the family: Transfer RNA (tRNA) molecules are approximately 80 nucleotides in length. Their secondary structure includes four short double-helical elements and three loops (D, anti-codon, and T loops).
Source: RNAcentral
UGUGACAUAGCUCAGUUGGUAGAGCGACCCCUUCAUACGGGGUAGGUCACAGGUUCGAACCCUGUUGUCACAA